Drosophila mojavensis is the source of this 453-nucleotide long non-coding RNA. RefSeq lists it as uncharacterized. The transcript has 2 exons. NCBI's taxonomy places the organism in Eukaryota, Metazoa, Arthropoda, Insecta, Diptera, Drosophilidae. The record is from RefSeq and is a predicted model, not a curated record.
GUGAAACAACAACAACAACAAUAACAACAACAACAGCAGCAGCAACAACAAACCCAACAACAACAACAACAACAAAGUAUUAAACUGCAGUGUUUGGCGUUUAUGCAUAUUCUUCAAAAUUCUAAAUUUCAACGAAGAAGAAAGCGUGUAAAACUUAAAGAAAAUCACAAUCGAAAUCUCGGCGAAUCGAUAGGCGAAUCAGUUGUAAUACGUUUAUCGAUAACAGCAGCAGCAGCAACAACAGCAACAACAAGUAUCACACGCUACAACUCUGGCAGCGCUCUUCGGCUAUUGAUAAAAAUAAAGAACAAACAUUCUCACACACACCCACACACACACACACACCCAUCCAUACACACACAUGCAUUCUCUCUGAAAAGCAAACUUGACGAAAUAUUUGCAACCAACUGGACCAAUUACAUUUUUAUCGAUAAAUAAAAAAAAACAAGCAAA